This is a long non-coding RNA of Sander lucioperca (pikeperch), 500 nucleotides long. RefSeq lists it as uncharacterized. The record is from RefSeq and is a predicted model, not a curated record. NCBI's taxonomy places the organism in Eukaryota, Metazoa, Chordata, Actinopteri, Perciformes, Percidae. The transcript is spliced from 3 exons.
CCCAAACAGACUCCACACGCUCCGUAGGUCAGAACCAGACCCAAACAGACUCCACACGCUCCGUAGGUCAGAACCAGAACCAAACAGACUCUACACGCUCCGUAGACUAGAACCAGACCCAAACAGACUCCACACGCUCCGUAGGUCAGAACCAGACCCAAACAGACUCCACACGCUCCGUAGGUCAGAACCAGACCCAAACAGACUCUACACGCUCCGUAGGUCAGAACCAGACCCAAACAGGCUCCACACGCUCCGUAAACUAGAACCAGACCCAAACAGACUCCACACGCUCCGUAGACUAGAACAAGACCCAAACAGACUCUACACGCUCCGUAGGUCAGAACCAGACCCAAACAGACUCCACACGCUCCGUAGAACCAGACCCAAACAGACUCUACACGCUCCGUAGGUCAGAACCAGACCCAAACAGACUCCACACGCUCCGUAGAACCAGACCCAAACAGACUCUACACGCUCUGUAGGUCAGAACCAGACCC